UGGGGUAACGUCCCAACAAGCCGAUAAUCGGUACGGGUUGUGAGAGCAAGAGCCCGGAGAUGGAUUCUGAGACACGAAUCCAGGUCCUACGGGGCGCAGCAGGCGCGAAAACUUUACACUGCGCGAAAGCGCGAUAAGGGGACCUCGAGUGCGUGCGCAAAGCGUACGCUUUUCAGAUGCCUAAAAAGCAUCUGGAAUAAGGGCCGGGCAAGACCGGUGCCAGCCGCCGCGGUAACACCGGCGGCUCAAGUGGUGGCCGCUAUUAUUGGGCUUAAAGGGUCCGUAGCCGGACCAGUUAGUCCCUUGGGAAAUCUUACGGCUUAACCGUAAGGCUGCCAAUGGAUACUGCUGGUCUUGGGACCGGGAGAGGCAAGAGGUACCUCAGGGGUAGGAGUGAAAUCCUGUAAUCCUUGAGGGACCGCCAGUGGCGAAGGCGUCUUGCUAGAACGGGUCCGACGGUGAGGGACGAAAGCUAGGGGCACGAACCGGAUUAGAUACCCGGGUAGUCCUAGCCGUAAACGAUGCGAGCUAGGUGUCACGUGGAUUGCGAAUCCAUGUGGUGCCGAAGGGAAACCGUGAAGCUCGCCGCCUGGGAAGUACGGCCGCAAGGCUGAAACUUAAAGGAAUUGGCGGGGGAGCAC
RNAcentral lists this ribosomal RNA (641 nucleotides) under uncultured euryarchaeote. Its description in RNAcentral is "bacterial SSU rRNA". It matches the Rfam family "Archaeal small subunit ribosomal RNA", at positions 237 to 879 of the family's 1478-position model. The record is from RNAcentral. Lineage: Archaea; Methanobacteriati; Methanobacteriota.